AAGUUACGGGGACUACGUUGCAGCGUACGUCUUAUGCCUAGGCCAAUCGACCGACACGCUGCGCGGUUUCGUCCCCACGCAUGCCCUCCGUCCUGCAUCGUUGUGCCUCACGACGGUCUCGAUUCGGGACAAUUUCGUACCAACCGAUCGGACAUUGGGAAGUUGCGAGCACUACGUUGCAACGUGCGUCUUAUGCCUAGGCCAAUCGAUCGACACGUCGCGCGGUUUCUUGUCC
RNAcentral lists this long non-coding RNA (235 nucleotides) under Olea europaea (common olive). Its description in RNAcentral is "long non-coding RNA (OEUR_LNC004973)". Lineage: Eukaryota; Viridiplantae; Streptophyta; Magnoliopsida; Lamiales; Oleaceae. The record is from RNAcentral.